UGGUGAGAGAGUUCUGUAGCGAGAAUGGGAUCGAGAGAGGAGUUCUUAAAGUAUGGAUGCAUAAUAAUAAGUAUUCACUUCUCAACGGGAAGAACAGAGAGAUCUUGUCGAUGGAGGAUCAACCUCGUCUCUGUCUGAACACUCAGAGCUGUAAUAAUGGUGGAGAAGAUGGAGACAACGUUGGUGGGUCAUCGUCUUCUUGACGCUAAUUACCAUACUUAAAUUCGGGGAAUGUUAAAGUUAUGAGCAUUAACCGUUUAAAUCUUAUAAUAGUAAGUUCUAACGUGUAAUCGUCAUCGAGAUAUAUGCAGUUUUAAAUAUUAUUGAAGUUGUUUGACAGAGAUGUUCAGAGAUCAUAAUAAAGGACAUGUAGCACAUUGUCGCAAGUCAAAUACUAACGUUGAACACGUAAUUACCUACAUUAGAAGAAACCACAGAACACUUAAUAAUUAAUUUCGAUUAAUCGAUUAAUUGGAAAGUUGCCAUCUAAAGUAAUAACUGGCAUUAUAUAAACAAAAAUGCAAAACGUACAUAAGAAAAUGGUCGCUAUUCAUUUUAUGACCGUUGACAACCAAAAACAAAACAAGCUAAAAAAAGGUUAAAACGAAGCAGAUAGAAAUGUAGAGCUGAGACAGAGAAAUUUACUAAAACAUGGGGCUCUGGCGUGAACUUUAAAAAUAAAAUUGCAGGGCAGCUGGUAUUGUCCUCUAGUACGAUGCAUGUAAUGGGCAUUGGCCACGUAUACGCUUUGGACUAAGUCCUUCCCUCUCCGUCGAAUAUAAUAUAUACUAUUAUUGAUAAAAAGAAAACAUUUUUUUUGAGCAAUGAUAAAAAGAAAAUUAUUAUUAGCUUUACCAAUUUCUUCAUCUCCAUCAACAAGUUACCCACUGGUGAAAAAGUGAAAACCCAUAACUUACAAAAUGUCUUGUAAAAUCAUUGAAGAAAAGCUUGUGAUACGACCCAUUAUUUUAUUAUAUUAUAUAGUAUAUAACGUAUGAAUAUACAUCAAGUGAUAAAAUAUUCAAUAAUAUACUAUGUAUUAAAAUGUGUUGUAGCUUUUCAUUUGAUAUACAGUAAAUGUGUGCAUUAUUUUACUGAGUGUGUUUUGGACGUUUGUAGGUAAGCACUUAUUACAUUUUAAAAGACCUAAUUAUAUUUCAUCACUGCCAUGUUCUUUACCGAUAUAAUUACAUCAUAGUCACAUGCACUUACUUAAUUUUCAAUUUAAAAUUAUAAAAAUAAAAUAAAAUAAAUCCCACAAAACCUAAUCUCCUCUUUAAACUACGUUAAUCAGAUGAGAGUUAACACACUAUAAAGAGAGAAGUAAAGUAAAGCUAUGGAUUUGUCUUCAAAACACAAACAAACUCUCCCGUCGCCGGAGAACUAACCAUAGCCGGAGAAAUGGGUGUCUGUUACAAAGAGUGUCUGAAAAACCACGCGGCUAACCUCGGCGGCCACGCGCUCGACGGCUGCGGCGAGUUCAUGCCAACCCCUACCGCAACUCCCACCGACCCUUCCUCUCUCCGCUGCGCCGCUUGUGGCUGCCACCGUAAUUUCCACCGCCGUGACCCUUCCGACCAUCUCAACUUCCUCCCUUCGCAUCCCACUUCCUCUCCCUCCGGAACAGAAUCUCCACCGUCUCAGUCGCUUCACCACGUGGCUUCCCCUGUUCCUUGCUCUUACUACACUUCAGCUCCACAUCACAUGCUUCUCUCUCUCAGCUCCGGUUUCCCUGGACCGGCAGAUCAAGAUCCGGCGGCGGUAAGAUCGGAGAACAGCUCAAAAGGAGGAAUGAGGAAACGGACGAGGACUAAGUUCACGGCGGAGCAGAAGAUUAAGAUGAGAGCCUUCGCCGAGAAAGCGGGGUGGAAGAUCAACGGCUGUGAUGAGAAGUUGGUGAGAGAGUUCUGUAGCGAGAAUGGGAUCGAGAGAGGAGUUCUUAAAGUAUGGAUGCAUAAUAAUAAGUAUUCACUUCUCAACGGGAAGAACAGAGAGAUCUUGUCGAUGGAGGAUCAACCUCGUCUCUGUCUGAACACUCAGAGCUGUAAUAAUGGUGGAGAAGAUGGAGACAACGUUGGUGGGUCAUCGUCUUCUUGACGCUAAUUACCAUACUUAAAUUCGGGGAAUGUUAAAGUUAUGAGC
Molecule: long non-coding RNA, 2142 nt
Filed under: Brassica napus (rape)
Lineage: Eukaryota; Viridiplantae; Streptophyta; Magnoliopsida; Brassicales; Brassicaceae
Description: long non-coding RNA (BNAP_LNC006348)
Source: RNAcentral